AUGAACGCUGGCGGCGUGCCUCAUACAUGCAAGUCGAGCGAACAGAUGAGGAGCUUGCUCCUCUGACGUUAGCGGCGGACGGGUGAGUAACACGUGGAUAACCUACCUAUAAGACUGGGAUAACUUCGGGAAACCGGAGCUAAUACCGGAUAAUAUAUUGAACCGCAUGGUUCAAUAGUGAAAGACGGUUUUGCUGUCACUUAUAGAUGGAUCCGCGCCGCAUUAGCUAGUUGGUAAGGUAACGGCUUACCAAGGCAACGAUGCGUAGCCGACCUGAGAGGGUGAUCAGCCACACUGGAACUGAGACACGGUCCAGACUCCUACGGGAGGCAGCAGUAGGGAAUCUUCCGCAAUGGGCGAAAGCCUGACGGAGCAACGCCGCGUGAGUGAUGAAGGUCUUCGGAUCGUAAAACUCUGUUAUUAGGGAAGAACAAAUGUGUAAGUAACUAUGCACGUCUUGACGGUACCUAAUCAGAAAGCCACGGCUAACUACG
Molecule: ribosomal RNA, 494 nt
Filed under: uncultured bacterium
Lineage: Bacteria
Description: partial 16S ribosomal RNA
Rfam family: Bacterial small subunit ribosomal RNA
Source: RNAcentral